CAUUCACGGAGAGUUUGAUCCUGGCUCAGGACGAACGCUGGCGGCGUGCUUAACACAUGCAAGUCGAACGAUGAAGCCCUUCGGGGUGGAUUAGUGGCGAACGGGUGAGUAACACGUGGGCAAUCUGCCCUGCACUCUGGGACAAGCCCUGGAAACGGGGUCUAAUACCGGAUAUGACCGUCCAUCGCAUGGUGGAUGGUGUAAAGCUCCGGCGGUGCAGGAUGAGCCCGCGGCCUAUCAGCUAGUUGGUGAGGUAGUGGCUCACCAAGGCGACGACGGGUAGCCGGCCUGAGAGGGCGACCGGCCACACUGGGACUG
RNAcentral lists this ribosomal RNA (318 nucleotides) under Streptomyces sp. SID8455. Its description in RNAcentral is "bacterial SSU rRNA". It matches the Rfam family "Bacterial small subunit ribosomal RNA", at positions 1 to 321 of the family's 1533-position model. The record is from RNAcentral. Lineage: Bacteria; Bacillati; Actinomycetota; Actinomycetes; Kitasatosporales; Streptomycetaceae.